GCCCUCUUUGACACAUUCAUCAUACUUCUCCAAAGCAGAAACUAUGUAACUGAAGUCUGGUCGUUUAGAUGGGUUUGCUGCCCAGCAACGCUUUAUCAAGUGUGCAAGUGCGGGCUGACAACUUGCUGGCAAUGGAGGCCGCUCAUUCUUCUCAGCCACAGCAAAUGCAGCCUGUACAGGGGUGAUUCCUUGAAAGGGAAGCAAAGCUGUAGUGAGCUCCCAUAACACAAUCCCAAAGCUAUAAACAUCAACUUUUCGAGUAUAUGGUUUUUCCUUGAUCAUCUCAGGCGCCAUCCAGCGGUAAGUUCCCUUGUUUCCUUUGGUUUCUCGGCACUGUGUUUCUAGACAAGAUGUACCAAAAUCUGCUACCUUAACCC
Molecule: unclassified non-coding RNA, 377 nt
Filed under: Hevea brasiliensis (rubber tree)
Lineage: Eukaryota; Viridiplantae; Streptophyta; Magnoliopsida; Malpighiales; Euphorbiaceae
Source: RNAcentral